Molecule: RNA transcript, 1382 nt
Organism: Rhododendron vialii
Lineage: Eukaryota; Viridiplantae; Streptophyta; Magnoliopsida; Ericales; Ericaceae
Exons: 5
Source: RefSeq, a predicted model, not a curated record
CUCUCUCUCUCUCUCUCUCGUUUCUAUAUAGUUUAUUAUUUCAGUGGAUUAUCUAUACACUAAUAACAAGCAGAUUCGGCAAUCUAAGCCAUCGGCCGCUUUUUGGCCAGGAUUGCCAAAAAUGCCCCUUUGUUGGCUGUCAUUUGUCGAGAGUUGUCGAGGGGCAAUGUUGUGAUUUGCUCUUUGUGGGGUCUUUGAGUUAUGAGCUGUACUUGCGUUGGUGGUAAGCGUAAAGAAAUCCAUGGAGGACUCUCUCUCCGGAGACAUCAGGCACUGAGAGUUGUGCUUUGCAGGCUCUAUUUGAUAGUUACUGAGCUACGGCGUGGGGUAGUAGAGGUGCUUUUGGUUAACCAGUUGUGCGUCUUCCUCUUUGAUUGGCAUCGCAGAAAAACUGGAAGGAAGCUUUUGAGGCUUCAAUUGAGACGAAGAAAAAGGAAGUACAACAAAAGGAGGUGAUGUAUGGAUGUGGUGGUUCACAAGGCUUGCCACCCUCAACUUAGAGAAUACAUUAAUUCUGCCGUCACUCAUCUGAAGGUGGCUAAGUUCCAUUACUUCCUCGAGCUUGUGUUCUGCAAAAUGUAUUAAAUAUAAUCACAUCUGCGUCAGACUCUGCGUGGUCAUAAUAUCCCAUUGUGGUUUAUUAUGGGAGAAUGCUCAAACAGAAUUAUUGAUUUUCAGCUCGAUUCUGCAGUUUCUUUGAGAAGAUCUAUUUGUCAUUUGUUGACAAACCUCUAUAGGGAUUGGUGGAAAGAGUUGCAGUUAUUCUCUUUGACAGUGAGACAAUCCCGUUGAGAUUUAUUUUCAAGCUUUCUGUUAACCAGUCUUAUGGGUCAGAGGCGGAAGAAGCUAAUUUGGAGUUCUUUCUUCUUUUGGCUUUUAUCGAGCUUCCAGUAUCAUAACCACUGACAAAGGUUUUGGCCCACAGUAAGUGCCAAGAGUCAGUUGCUUGAUUCAUAGUCUUUCUGCAGUUUAUGGGCAUAGUUCGCCCCAUGUUAUGACCCAAAACUAGCCAACUAUGUUUUUGCAUUUAUGGAAUGCUUCUUUUUUUUUUUUUUUUGGUUGGUGAGAAAAUAAGUCGUGCUUGAUUAUUGCUAGAGUUGGUCAAAUGGUUCACGAUUCCUUUUGAUCAGUUGGUUAUGUCGUGCUUUAUUCUGUAUUGCUUUGAGAUGGGAAAUGCGACACCUAGCUAUUUUCCUGUUAGAAAUAACAGCUUAUUUCCGUUCACUCCCCCUGGGUGAUACAAGCAAGGAUGCAGAGCUAUGGAUUCGAACAGACACAAAGCAGUGGCUGCAACCUCCAUUAAUAACUCCUCUUAAGUCACUGAGUAUUGAACACGCCAAUACCUUGGCAAUUUGUCUUAAUACAAUUGUAUUUCCAUUUAA